GGUAGGUAGGUAGGUAGGUAGGUAGGUAGGUAAUGCUGAUCUAUGGUAGGUAGGUAGGUAAUGCUGAUCUAUUGUAACUCCCUCUAGGUAGGUAGGUAGGUAAUGCUGAUCUAUUGUAACUCCCUCUAGGUAGGUAGGUAGGUAAUGCUGAUCUAUUGUAACUCCC
Molecule: non-coding RNA, 166 nt
Organism: Salmo salar (Atlantic salmon)
Lineage: Eukaryota; Metazoa; Chordata; Actinopteri; Salmoniformes; Salmonidae
Source: RefSeq, a predicted model, not a curated record